RNAcentral lists this ribosomal RNA (253 nucleotides) under uncultured bacterium. RNAcentral describes it as "partial 16S ribosomal RNA". It matches the Rfam family "Bacterial small subunit ribosomal RNA", at positions 524 to 776 of the family's 1533-position model. The record is from RNAcentral.
UACGUAGGUGGCAAGCGUUGUCCGGAAUUAUUGGGCGUAAAGCGCGCGCAGGCGGUCCUUUAAGUCUGAUGUGAAAGCCCACGGCUCAACCGUGGAGGGUCAUUGGAAACUGGAGAACUUGAGUACAGAAGAGGAAAGCGGAAUUCCACGUGUAGCGGUGAAAUGCGUAGAGAUGUGGAGGAACACCAGUGGCGAAGGCGGCUUUCUGGUCUGUAACUGACGCUGAGGCGCGAAAGCGUGGGGAGCAAACAGG